UAUCUAUAAUAAUAUAUAUAAAAGCGAAAGGUCACUCAUUCAUCACGAAAUAUCCGAAACUAUAACACCUACAAACUUGAAAUUUGGCAGGUAGGCUCCUUAUAAGACGUAGGCAUCCGUUAAGAACGGAUUUUACGAAACUCGACCCCCAAGGGGGUGAAACGGGGGUUGGAAGUUUGUAUGAAAGUCCUAUGUUUUUGAAGUAAGAGACUUAAAAUUUAAAAUGUAAGCUCUAUAGAUGAUAAAAAG
RNAcentral lists this unclassified non-coding RNA (249 nucleotides) under Melitaea cinxia (Glanville fritillary). Its description in RNAcentral is "misc RNA ENSMCXG00005011657.1". Lineage: Eukaryota; Metazoa; Arthropoda; Insecta; Lepidoptera; Nymphalidae. The record is from RNAcentral.